AUCCCUACGGGAGGCAGCAGUGGGGGAUAUUGCACAAUGGGGGAAACCCUGAUGCAGCGACGCCGCGUGGGUGAAGAGGCGCCUCGGCGCGUAAAGCCCUGUCAGCAGGGAAGAAAAAAGGACGGUACCUGAGUAAGAAGCCCCGGCUAACUACGUGCCAGCAGCCGCGGUAAUACGUAGGGGGCAAGCGUUAUCCGGAAUUACUGGGUGUAAAGGGAGCGUAGACGGCAAUGCAAGUCCGGAGUUGAAUGCGGCAGCUCAACUGCCGAACUGCUCUGGAAACUGUAUGGCUUGUGUGCAGGGGG
This 305-nucleotide ribosomal RNA is filed under the name uncultured bacterium. RNAcentral describes it as "bacterial SSU rRNA". It matches the Rfam family "Bacterial small subunit ribosomal RNA", at positions 335 to 655 of the family's 1533-position model. The record is from RNAcentral.